RNAcentral lists this ribosomal RNA (253 nucleotides) under uncultured bacterium. RNAcentral describes it as "partial 16S ribosomal RNA". It matches the Rfam family "Bacterial small subunit ribosomal RNA", at positions 524 to 776 of the family's 1533-position model. The record is from RNAcentral.
UACGAAGGGGGCUAGCGUUGCUCGGAAUUACUGGGCGUAAAGGGCGCGUAGGCGGCACUGUUAGUCAGGCGUGAAAGUCCUGGGCUUAACCUGGGAACUGCGCUUGAUACGGCAGAGCUAGAGGAUGGAAGAGGGUCGCGGAAUUCCCAGUGUAGAGGUGAAAUUCGUAGAUAUUGGGAAGAACACCGGUGGCGAAGGCGGCGACCUGGUCCAUUACUGACGCUGAGGCGCGACAGCGUGGGGAGCAAACAGG